CCUACGGGGGGCAGCAGUGGGGAAUAUUGCACAAUGGGGGAAACCCUGAUGCAGCGACGCCGCGUGAGUGAAGAAGUAAUUCGUUACGUAAAGCUCUAUCAGCAGGGAAGAAAUACUGACCUUACGGUCAGCAGACGGUACCUGAGUAAGAAGCCCCGGCUAACUACGUGCCAGCAGCCGCGGUAAUUCGUAGGGGGCAAGCGUUAUCCGGAUUUACUGGGUGGAAAGGGAGCGUAGACGGUGCGCCAAGUCUGGAGGGAAAUGCCGCAGCUUAACUGCGGAACUGCUUUGGAAACUGGCGAACUAGAGUGAGGGAGAGGUAAGCGGAAUUCCUAGUGUAGCGGUGAAAUGCGUAGAUAUUAGGAGGAACACCGGUGGCGAAGGCGGCUUACUGGACCGUAACUGACGUUGAGGCUCGAAAGCGUGGGGAGCAAACAGGAUUAGAUACCCGUGUAGUC
Molecule: ribosomal RNA, 458 nt
Filed under: uncultured bacterium
Lineage: Bacteria
Description: partial 16S ribosomal RNA
Rfam family: Bacterial small subunit ribosomal RNA
Source: RNAcentral